Molecule: ribosomal RNA, 428 nt
Filed under: uncultured bacterium
Lineage: Bacteria
Description: partial 16S ribosomal RNA
Rfam family: Bacterial small subunit ribosomal RNA
Source: RNAcentral
GUGGGGAAUAUUGGGCAAUGGGCGAAAGCCUGACCCAGCAACGCCGCGUGAGGGAAGAAGGCCUUCGGGUUGUAAACCUCUGUCCUUGGUGACGAAAAAAAUGACGGUAGCCAAGGAGGAAGCCCCGGCUAACUACGUGCCAGCAGCCGCGGUAAUACGUAGGGGGCGAGCGUUGUCCGGAAUUACUGGGCGUAAAGGGUGCGUAGGUGGCCUUUUAAGUUGGAUGUGAAAUACCCGGGCUUAACUUGGGGGGUGCAUCUAAUACUGGAGGGCUAGAGUGCAGGAGAGGGAAGCGGAAUUCCUAGUGUAGCGGUGAAAUGCGUAGAUAUCGAGAGGAAUACCAAAGGCGUAGGCAGGUCACUGGACAGUUACUGACACUGAGGCACGAAGGCCAGGGGAGCGAACGGGAUUAGAAACCCGUGUAGUCC